GGAGGGUGCUAGCGUUGUUCGGAAUUAUUGGGCGUAAAGAGCGUGUAGGGCGGGUUGGGAUAAGUCAGAUGUGAAAGCCCUCGGCUUAACCGAGGAAUUGCAUUUGAAACUAUUCAACUUGAGUACGGGAGGGGAAAAUGGAAUUCCCGGUGUAGGGGUGAAAUCCGUAGAUAUCGGGAGGAAUACCCGUGGCGAAGGCGGUUUUCUGGACCGAUACUGACGCUGAGACGCGAAAGCGUGGGGAGCAAACAGGAUUAGAUACCCUGGUAGUCCACGCCGUAAACGAUGGGCACUAGGUGUUGGGAGUGCUAAAAUUCCCAGUGCCGUAGCUAACGCAUUAAGUGCCCCGCCUGGGGAGUACGGCCGCAAGGCUA
This 374-nucleotide ribosomal RNA is filed under the name uncultured organism. Its description in RNAcentral is "partial 16S ribosomal RNA". It matches the Rfam family "Bacterial small subunit ribosomal RNA", at positions 527 to 896 of the family's 1533-position model. The record is from RNAcentral.